This 344-nucleotide ribosomal RNA is filed under the name uncultured bacterium. Its description in RNAcentral is "bacterial SSU rRNA". It matches the Rfam family "Bacterial small subunit ribosomal RNA", at positions 18 to 344 of the family's 1533-position model. The record is from RNAcentral.
CAUGGCUCAGGAUGAACGCUGGCGGCGUGCUUAACACAUGCAAGUCGAACGGAGUUUAUACGGAAGGAGUCUUCGGGCAACGGAAGUAUAAACUUAGUGGCGGACGGGUGAGUAACGCGUGGGUAACCUGCCUUAUACAAGGGGAUAACAGAGGGAAACUUCUGCUAAUACCGUAUAAAAAUAUUUCACGCAUGUGAGAUAUUUGAAAGAUUUAUCAGUAUGAGAUGGACCCGCGUCUGAUUAGGUAGUUGGUGAGGUAGAGGCUCACCAAGCCGACGAUCGGUAGCCGAUCUGAGAGGAUGACCGGCCACAUUGGGACUGAGACACGGCCCAAACUCCUACGG